This 666-nucleotide ribosomal RNA is filed under the name Skeneidae sp. SW-2012. RNAcentral's name for it is "partial 12S ribosomal RNA". The record is from RNAcentral. Lineage: Eukaryota; Metazoa; Mollusca; Gastropoda; Trochida; Skeneidae.
AACAAAUAGGCCAAGCUAAGAUCUCCACAGUAUCAGGGGGUUAAAGUUACCUAUCAAUAGAAAAUUUAUAUUUUUUUAGAAAGUUAAAUUUGAAAAAAAAAUCACCCGCCAUUUUCUUUUUCUUGACGCCCCGAAAUUUUAACUAAAAGACCGGGAUUAGAUACCCCGUUAUUUAAAGACAUAAAUCCUAAUUAUUUAAUAGUUUACUUGAGUAUUACGGGCACCCUUAGAAAAUUUAUAUUUCUCCUUACUUUGCGUCUUUUAAGGUAUAUAGCAUGCUUAAAACUUAAAAAACUUGGCGGUACCCUAAAUCCUCCCAGGGGAACCUGUCCUAUAAUCGAUAAUCCACGAUUUAACUUACCUUAGUUUGAAUAACAAGAUUAUACCGUAAAAUCUGUCAUCCAGCUUGUAUACCGUCGUCGUCAGUUUACCUCCUAAAAGCAGUCAAGUUAACCAAAAAAAGCACAGAACAAGUUUAUUUUUACUUAUUCAUACUCAAUAUAUAAAACUAUAAACUAAUCUUGCCAUUUCAUACGACAGAUCAAGGUGCAGCCUACACUAAGGAUAGAGAUGGGUUACAAUAAUCUAUUCAUUACCCAAUUAUACGAAUUUUGUGUUGUAAUACAUGAUUGAAGGUGGACUUGGAAGUAAUUAUAUCAGAGAAUA